Non-coding RNA from Ictidomys tridecemlineatus (thirteen-lined ground squirrel), 68 nucleotides. Lineage: Eukaryota; Metazoa; Chordata; Mammalia; Rodentia; Sciuridae. The record is from Rfam.
GGAUUGUGGCUCAGCGGUAGAGCGCUCGCCUCGCAAGUCUGAGGCCCUGGGUUCGAUCCUCAGCACCA